This 253-nucleotide ribosomal RNA is filed under the name uncultured bacterium. RNAcentral describes it as "partial 16S ribosomal RNA". It matches the Rfam family "Bacterial small subunit ribosomal RNA", at positions 524 to 776 of the family's 1533-position model. The record is from RNAcentral.
CACGUAGGGCGCAAGCGUUGUCCGGAAUUAUUGGGCGUAAAGAGCUCGUAGGCGGUCUGUUGCGUCUGCUGUGAAAACUCGGGGCUUAACCCCGAGCCUGCAGUGGAUACGGGCAGACUAGAGGUAGGUAGGGGAGAAUGGAAUUCCUGGUGUAGCGGUGAAAUGCGCAGAUAUCGGGAGGAACACCGGUGGCGAAGGCGGCGCUCUGGGCCGGUACUGACGCUGAGGAGCGAAAGCGUGGGUAGCAAACAGG